Molecule: ribosomal RNA, 457 nt
Filed under: uncultured Methanosarcina sp.
Lineage: Archaea; Methanobacteriati; Methanobacteriota; Methanomicrobia; Methanosarcinales; Methanosarcinaceae
Description: bacterial SSU rRNA
Rfam family: Archaeal small subunit ribosomal RNA
Source: RNAcentral
AGAUGUGUAAAAUACAUCUGUUAGCAAGGGCCGGGCAAGACCGGUGCCAGCCGCCGCGGUAACACCGGCGGCCCGAGUGGUGAUCGUGAUUAUUGGGUCUAAAGGGUCCGUAGCCGGUUUGGUCAGUCCUCCGGGAAAUCUGACGGCUCAACCGUUAGGCUUUCGGUGGAUACUGCCAGACUUGGAACCGGGAGAGGUAAGAGGUACUACAGGGGUAGGAGUGAAAUCUUGUAAUCCCUGUGAGACCACCUGUGGCGAAGGCGUCUUACCAGAACGGGUUCGACGGUGAGGGACGAAAGCUGGGGGCACGAACCGGAUUAGAUACCCGGGUAGUCCCAGCCGUAAACGAUGCUCGCUAGGUGUCAGGCAUGGCGCGACCGUGUCUGGUGCCGCAGGGAAGCCGUGAAGCGAGCCACCUGGGAAGUACGGCCGCAGGCUGAAACUUAAAGGAAUUGGC